GACGAACGCUGGCGGCGUGCUUAACACAUGCAAGUCGAACGGAAAGGCCCUGCUUUUGUGGGGUGCUCGAGUGGCGAACGGGUGAGUAACACGUGAGUAACCUGCCCUUGACUUUGGGAUAACUUCAGGAAACUGGGGCUAAUACCGGAUAGGAGCUCCUGCUGCAUGGUGGGGGUUGGAAAGUUUCGGCGGUUGGGGAUGGACUCGCGGCUUAUCAGCUUGUUGGUGGGGUAGUGGCUUACCAAGGCUUUGACGGGUAGCCGGCCUGAGAGGGUGACCGGGCACAGGGCGUGUGAGACAGGGCGCAGAGUGCGGGGGAGGGAAUAGGGGAGGAAGGUGAGAAGGUGGGCGGGAGGGGGAGGCGGGCACGGCGGGGGCGGGAAGGCGUUGUGCGGGUGGUCAACCGUGUCGGCGGGUGAGGAAGGGGGAGGGACGGUGAUGGGAAAAGAAGCACGGGAGAACUACGCACCAGAAGCACAAAGACUGGGAAGAGCAAACGUCGGAAC
RNAcentral lists this ribosomal RNA (506 nucleotides) under uncultured bacterium. RNAcentral describes it as "partial 16S ribosomal RNA". The stretch from base 21 to 330 matches the Rfam family "Bacterial small subunit ribosomal RNA", at positions 48 to 357 of the family's 1533-position model. The record is from RNAcentral.